GUGGAACUGUAAGUCCAAUAAACUUCUUCCUUUUGUAAAUUGCCCAGUCUUGGGUAUGUGUUUAUCAGCAGCAUGAAAAGAGAAAAAUACAGAUGCCUUUAAAAACUGUUUUGAUGAAUUGUCCAUUUGAUAGAGAGACUCAAAGACAAGCAAGUUUGGUACUUCUUUAAUCAUAUUUUGAUUUUUAAUGGAGUAUUGGGUAAGAAAGGGUCCAGGGGUGAGUGGAGACCAGGGAUGUAUGUGGGCUUUGUGAGAUCUGGAUCUUGUAUAAUUUAGGGGAGGAAUUUCAACAAAAAUAAUAUAAAUACAAAAUUAGAAAUAGAGCCUUGGAAUAAGCUCAUGCAAGUGAAAAAUCUUGAGAUGAUGCUUUAUUCACUUUGUUUAAAAAUCCUUGUAUGGUUGAGAUAAAUUUUCUCCAUUCAGCUAGGAACACUGACACAUCAUGCUGAGAUAUUCUGAACGGAUAGACUACUGAAGGGUCAGGGAGAGAAAUGGAAAGAGGAUACAAAGAGGUCAAUAAAAUGCUGAGGAUUUACAGGGAGUUUACCAGGUGGUGCUGUGCAAUACUCAGAGAGAAGGUCAUGUGUGUACACAAUUUUUACACAUCAGGGCUGUCUUUAAGAAAACACAGAGUGCCCAGGGCUACAUGGACUAUCUGUGUGGUUUUCUUGCCCAGAAUUUGACAGGAGAGAUAAGGAUCAACAGCUUCACAGCUGAAGUUACUGUUUGUUUUCUCUUCUGGUUUCUACUAAUUUUGUUUUGUUUGAUAUGCAUCUUCAGCAUGGGCAACUCAAACAACCAGCACAGUUCAUUUGCUAUCCAUCUCCUUUCUUCUUUUUUUCCCUAACAAUAUGGAUUGAUUUUUUUGCUGUCAAAAAAAUAAGUUGUCUCAACACAGGAAUCAAAAUACAUAAGACAUGUAAAACAUUUUAAACUUUGAAAACAUUUUAACUAUCAUCAGAUUUUUACAACUAUUUUUAGACAUCUCAGAAUGUAGGGUUAAACUAAACUGAUGAUGUCUCUUUUAAAUUCUGGGGCAAUAGAGGAAAAGAAGGCCUGAGAUAGUGCCAAUUCUCCAGACUGACCAGGGCUGUGGAGAAUUCUGAUUUUACGGAGUGCAGAUGAUUUGGAUGGUCUUGUUACUAGUCAUAAGAAUCUUAAACCAUUCAGCAGCUGACAGACUGCAUUUACAUUGGAAAAGAAAAGUUGUCAGAAGCUUUUAUGGUGACCACACAAUCCAGGAACAAAUUUCUCAGUAUAGAAAAUAUGGUAUCUUUACAGGAAGAAUUAAUGAAACUCACAAAGGAGUACCUAAACAACAAAUAUCUAAGCUUUAAAAUAUUUUACCAGAAAAUGAACAACAAAAUAUACUGCAGAUCAAAUACAGAUGGGUGAGAGAGAAGAUUUUAAAAGCACAUUGGCAGGGGUGUUUGGGAGACAUGGUAAUAGGUUCUCUCUUUCCUAAAGGGAAGCCAGUGGAGGGUGAGAGGGCCAAUAUCUCUGAAUACUGGCACUCAACUCCUCAUAAUAAUCAAUAAAAGGAAUGUUGGAUGCCUAAUAUCUGGCUCCUGUGAGAUUGUCCAAUGUGCCUUAGGCCAAGAUACUCAUGCAGCAGGAAAGGAGUAGAAGAGGGGCGGGAAUGCCUUUUGUCAUCUCUGCUCUAAUGCUGGGGAGAAGCAGUGUCUCUCAGCACACCUUCCAGUAAGCCCUCUUUCCAUGUAGCCCAAACAGAGGUGAGUCCAACUAGGGCAAGGGCAUUUUCCAACAUAAAAGACACAGGUUGGACAAUUUCAGCAGAAGAGGAUUGAGCAGCAUCCAUAAUUUUAGUUCACAAGGAGAUUCAGUGACUCUGUGUGUACUGGUUUGUACUUUUUGAUGCUAAAAUAGGAAGUAGUUUGCUUCCUUUCUUCUUUCUGUCUUCUGUUUAUUUAUUUAUUUUUUGGAUUCCAGGAAAAUUGCUCCAUUUAUUCACACUGGAGUCAUGAUUUUAUAGAGUUAAGAGGCUUUUUUUGGGAGGGCGGAGCAAGAUGGCCGAAUAGGAACAGCUCCAGUCUCCAACUCCCAGCGCGAGCGACACAGAAGACCGGUGAUUUCUGCAUUUUCAACUGAGGACGAACUCUUCUUACUUGAAGAUCAAGGACUACGGUUGGUCUCUAUCCUGAUCCUGUAGAUUCACCAUUGGCAGCUGUGUCUGAAGAACCUGCUCCUUGAGAGGCAUUUCUUGUUCCAGAAGCUGCAAAAAUACCUCUACUUAGCAACUCAGGCCCAGAUAUUUGCUCUCUCAAUGUCACACGGGGCCGGGUUCUAGAACUUCCCUCCGUCUCAUUUACCAAAGAUGUUCAAAAAUCUGAGAUGAGAUAUGAUGAUGAGAUCUUCGUGGAAUUUCACUCAUUGGAUGCAGAGGUGACCUCCUUCUCUCAGCUCUUGCUCUGGUUCUCCGAUAGUCUAGCCUCCUGCUUCCUGCCCUCCUCUGACCUCUGAGAUGGGGCGGUCUCCCUAUGUUGCCUAGGCUGGACUUCAACUCAUGGGCUCAAGCAAUCCUCCUGCCUCAGCCUCCAUGUAAUCAUUAUUUUAAGUAAGUAUGCAACCAUAAUAUUAAUAAGUAUAUGAAUAGCUAUCUUUGGCGUAGGGAUCCUGUUUUCAACCUGUGUCAUCAACAGGCCAGUUUAAUUAUUAUAUCAUGUUGUUGAAACAAAGAUUAAUUUCCAAAGUGGAAAUUUGGUGAGUAACAGAGUUUAAACUGAAAGUUUUGAGGCUUGACAAGUAGAUGAUUCACAUCAGAGAUACCUCACACAUUUUGCCAUUACACAUACCAAUCUCUUCAAAUUUCCUCCUGUACAGACAGCUCUCUCAUCUCUGUUCUUUUUCUCAAUUUACAGUUCCUUUCCAAAGCCUAUUGUGUGAGCAUUUCAGAUCCAAGUCUUAACCCCAGCUUGCAGACCACACUCACCAGCCAAGCAACAGGAUUUUACUUGAGAUGCAGAGCAAAAACAAACAAACAAACAAACAACAAAAAACAGACUGGAAUAACUUUUUCCCUAGCAAAAAUAACUUAACUAUUAUUAAAAGUCAUACUGAUGAAACCUAUCAGAAAAUUGAGAAUCACAGUAAAGUACUUAAUCACAGUGAUAUUGUGCCUGAUUUGUGAUUCUAUUUUCAGAAAACAAGAGAAGUUUAGUGUGAAGCCAGUGUGUGGUGAUGGUUAUGGUUGUCUUCUCAUGUACUCAUCAGCACAUGCAUGUGAGAAAACUAUCUAAGGCUAGGAAUGUAACCACCAAAAGAAUUAAAGGAAAGAAUACUCAGUGCUGCUCACACAGGUAUAGGACUAGUUCCUGGUUCCAUAAACCAGAUUAGUAGUGGGGAAUAAUUAGUCCUAUGAUAUGCACAGCUCUGGUCCCACCCUGUGAAUCAUAAAACCAAGACCCAAAAGGAUUAAACAGUUUCCAAGUAACUUAAAUGCAUCCUAGAAUAAAGCUCAAUCAUUAUAGGAAUACAAAAA
RNAcentral lists this long non-coding RNA (3499 nucleotides) under Macaca fascicularis (crab-eating macaque). RNAcentral's name for it is "lncRNA (ENSMFAG00000058945.1)". Lineage: Eukaryota; Metazoa; Chordata; Mammalia; Primates; Cercopithecidae. The record is from RNAcentral.